GGUCGGUUAGCUCAGUUGGUUAGAGCGUGGUGCUAAUAACCGAUUUUCCGAUCAUUGCUGGUCCUAAACGAGUUGCAACGCCAAGGUCGCGGGUUCGACCCCCGUACUGACCA
Coniosporium uncinatum is the source of this 113-nucleotide non-coding RNA. NCBI's taxonomy places the organism in Eukaryota, Fungi, Ascomycota, Dothideomycetes. The record is from the annotation of a GenBank genome assembly.